GCCGCGGUAAUACAGAGGGUGCGAGCGUUGUUCGGAAUCACUGGGUGUAAAGCGCGUGCAGGCGGCCGUGCAAGUCGUGCGUGAAAGCGCCCGGCUCAACCGGGCGAGGUCGUGCGAAACUGCGGGGCUUGAGGCAGGUAGAGGCGUGUGGAAUUCCGGGUGUAGUGGUGAAAUGCGUAGAGAUCCGGAGGAACACCAGUGGCGAAGGCGGCACGCUGGGCCUGGCCUGACGCUCAGACGCGAAAGCAUGGGGAGCGAACGG
This 262-nucleotide ribosomal RNA is filed under the name uncultured bacterium. RNAcentral describes it as "partial 16S ribosomal RNA". It matches the Rfam family "Bacterial small subunit ribosomal RNA", at positions 514 to 775 of the family's 1533-position model. The record is from RNAcentral.